GAUGAACGCUGGCGGCGUGCCUAAUACAUGCAAGUCGAACGCAUAUCUUCGGAUAUGAGUGGCGAACGGGUGAGUAAUACAUAAGUAACCUGGCCUUAAGAGGGGGAUAACUAUUAGAAAUGAUAGCUAAGACCGCAUAGGUAUGAAGAUCGCAUGAUCGACAUAUUAAAUAUCCCACGGGAUAGCUGAAGGAUGGACUUAUGGCGCAUUAGCUAGUUGGUAGGGUAACGGCCUACCAAGGCGACGAUGCGUAGCCGACCUGAGAGGGUGGACGGCCACACUGGGACUGAGACACGGCCCAGACUCCUACGGGAGGCAGCAGUAGGGAAUUUUCGGCAAUGGGGGGAACCCUGACCGAGCAACGCCGCGUGAGGGAGGAAGUAUUUCGGUAUGUAAACCUCUGUUAUAAAGGAAGAACGGAUGCAUGUAGGGAAUGACAUGCAAGUGACGGUACUUUAUGAGGAAGCCACGGCUAACUACGUGCCAGCAGCCGCGGUAAUACGUAGGUGGCGAGCGUUAUCCGGAAUUAUUGGGCGUAAAGAGGGAGCAGGCGGCAGCUAAGGUCUGCGGUGAAAGCCCGAAGCUAAACUUCGGUAAGCCGUGGAAACCGAGCAGCUAGAGUGCAGUAGAGGAUCGUGGAAUUCCAUGUGUAGCGGUGAAAUGCGUAGAUAUAUGGAGGAACACCAGUGGCGAAGGCGACGAUCUGGGCUGCAACUGACGCUCAGUCCCGAAAGCGUGGGGAGCAAAUAGGAUUAGAUACCCUAGUAGUCCACGCCGUAAACGAUGAGUACUAAGUGUUGGGGGUCAAACCUCAGUGCUGCAGUUAACGCAAUAAGUACUCCGCCUGAGUAGUACGUUCGCAAGAAUGAAACUCAAAGGAAUUGACGGGGGCCCGCACAAGCGGUGGAGCAUGUGGUUUAAUUCGAAGCAACGCGAAGAACCUUACCAGGUCUUGACAUCGAUCUAAAGGAUCCAGAGAUGGAUAGAUAGUUAUAGAGAAGACAGGUGGUGCAUGGUUGUCGUCAGCUCGUGUCGUGAGAUGUUGGGUUAAGUCCCGCAACGAGCGCAACCCUUGUCGUUAGUUACCAGCAGUAAGAUGGGGACUCUAGCGAGACUGCCUCUGCAAGGAGGAGGAAGGCGGGGAUGACGUCAAAUCAUCAUGCCCCUUAUGACCUGGGCUACACACGUGCUACAAUGGACGGAUCAAAGGGAAGCGAAGCCGCGAGGUGAAGCGAAACUCAAAAACCCGUUCUCAGUUCGGACUGCAGUCUGCAACUCGACUGCACGAAGUUGGAAUCGCUAGUAAUCGCGAAUCAGAAUGUCGCGGUGAAUACGUUCUCGGGCCUUGUACACACCGCCCGUCACACCAUGAGAGUUGGUAACACCCGAAGCCGGUGGCCUAACCGCAAGGAAGGAGCUGUCUAAGGUGGGACUGAUGAUUGGGGUGAAGUCGUAACAAGGUAUCCCUACGGGAACGUGGGGAUGGAUCACCUCCUUUCUAAGGAGAAGAGAUGUGGAAUCUGUUUAGUUUUGAGUGUCUUGAGAGAGAUACUCGAGGAGAACAUUGAAAACUGGAUAAUCAAGAAAAACUUUUUUACAGAAAAAGAUAGAUGAAGAAACGAGAUCAAGAGAAAGAGAAAAGGUUGAUUCAUCUAGUCAAGAGGUAAUAAAAAAACUAAGAAAAAGCAAACUCGAAACAACACUUUAGGUUAAGUAAGAAAGAGCGUAUGGCGAAUGCCUAGGCACAAAGAGGCGAAGAAGGACGCAGCGAACGGCGAAACGCAACGGGGAGCAGUAAGCAGGCAACGAUCCGUUGAUAUCCGAAUGGGGGAACCCGUCAACCGUCAUGGGUUGACAUCACUUCAUGAAUAAAUAGUGAAGAUGAGGCGAUACGCAGGGAACUGAAACAUCUCAGUACCUGCAGGAGAGGAAAGUAAAAACGAUUCCGUGAGUAGUGGCGAGCGAAAGCGGAGGAGCCCAAACCAUCGAAAAGAUGGGGUUAUAGGACUGUCAAAGAAGCCGAUAGAGAUAUGAUAGGAGAAACAUCUGGGAAGGUGUAACGAAGAGGGUGAAAUUCCCGUAUCCGAAAUCAUAUUGAAGGGGUGAGACAGCACCUGAGUACGUCGGGGCACGUGGAAUCCUGACGGAAUUAUCGAGGACCAUCUCGAAAGGCUAAAUACUCCUUUGUGACCGAUAGUGAACC
This 2203-nucleotide ribosomal RNA is filed under the name uncultured Massilimicrobiota sp. RNAcentral describes it as "partial contains 16S ribosomal RNA, 16S-23S ribosomal RNA intergenic spacer, and 23S ribosomal RNA". The stretch from base 1 to 1498 matches the Rfam family "Bacterial small subunit ribosomal RNA". The record is from RNAcentral. Lineage: Bacteria; Bacillati; Bacillota; Erysipelotrichia; Erysipelotrichales; Erysipelotrichaceae.